This 506-nucleotide ribosomal RNA is filed under the name uncultured bacterium. RNAcentral's name for it is "bacterial SSU rRNA". It matches the Rfam family "Bacterial small subunit ribosomal RNA", at positions 28 to 531 of the family's 1533-position model. The record is from RNAcentral.
GAUGAACGCUAGCGGGAGGCUUAACACAUGCAAGUCGAGGGGUAAAUGGCAGCAAUGCUAUGAGACCGGCGGACGGGUGCGUAACGCGUAUGCAACAUACCUUGUGCAGGGGGAUAGCCCGUGGAAACGCGGAUUAAUAUUCCAUAGUCCAGCUGUAUCGCAUGGUAUAGUUGGUAAAGAUUUAUCGGCACAAGUUUGGCAUGCGUCUGAUUAGCUUGUUGGUAGGGUAACGGCCUACCAAGGCUACGAUCAGUAGGGGUUCUGAGAGGAUUAACCCCCACACUGGUACUGAGACACGGACCAGACUCCUACGGGAGGCAGCAGUGGGGAAUUUUGGACAAUGGGCGAAAGCCUGAUCCAGCCAUGCCGCGUGCAGGAUGAAGGCCUUCGGGUUGUAAACUGCUUUUGUACGGAACGAAAGACUCCUUCUAAUAAGGGGUACCAUGACGGUACCGUAAGAAUAAGCACCGGCUAACUACGUGCCAGCAGCCGCGGUAAAACGUCUA